This 2678-nucleotide unclassified non-coding RNA is filed under the name Nilaparvata lugens (brown planthopper). Its description in RNAcentral is "tax1-binding protein 1 homolog, transcript variant X1". The record is from RNAcentral. Lineage: Eukaryota; Metazoa; Arthropoda; Insecta; Hemiptera; Delphacidae.
AUAACUAAGCAAUGGAAAUUCCAACCAGCAAUGGAGAAUUAAUAAAUCUUUGUGAUGACAGCAAGCAGAGUGACGCUGAUGUAAAUUUGAACGAAGAAAAUGACCUGGUUAAGGUAUCUUUCAUUGAUGUCGAUGAUAUGUAUCCGACAGAUUGCGAUCUCAGAUGUCGCUAUUCCUUCAAAACUGCAUUCGUACACCCAAAUCCAGGAGAUAGAAUAGCAAUAUUCAAAGUUGGAUGGAAGCAUGUUACAGAAUACUAUCUUUUCAAGAUGGUUAAAGUGCCAGCUGAAGAACACGUGCUUGCCUGUCAACGAAUAUGUUUCUCCGCUCCAGUCCUGCCAAAGAAUGUGAAGGAUCUCUACCAACUUUGUUAUCUAACACAUGAUAAUCUGGUGCUCGGAGCUAGCCCACCCUUCAGCUUCUAUAACGCGUCCGCUCAGGAACUGGUGUGUGUUGAAGACAAAGCCUGCCAAGAGGUCAUGAUCUACAAAUCUCGUUUGUCUGUGCUCCAUGAUCGUGUUGGAAGAGUUGAAGAUGAAAAAGAGCUGUCGGACUUGAAAGCGUAUGCGUUUGGCUCUCGCCUGAAGCAAGUAGAGCAGGAGCUGGCCUCCUCAAGAAAAGAGAUUCAGGCCAUCUCGUCUUGGUCUGCUUCAACGCAGGAAGAACUAGAGAAACAGAAGAGAGCAAACUUAGAGCUAUCCAAACUGCUUAAUGAAGAGCAUGGCAGUUGUGGCACUAAACUUACUGAAUUAGAAAAACAAUUAGCAAUCAAGACUGAAAAGCUUGAAGCACUUGAAGAACAGCUGUGCAAGGAAGAUGAAGAGAAGAAAAGACUUAAUUCUGGAAUAGACACUUUGACUGCAAAGUGUAUCGAGAAUGAGAAUCUUCUAAAAGAAUUGAACCAAUACAAUGAGACUCUCAAGAAAGAGCUAGAUGCAACAAAAUUGGAAAUGGCAUCGUCUUUGGAGGAUCGUCAACAUCAAACAGAAAAAGAGAAUUACCUUCUUGAAGCCAAUUUUCGACUUGAGAAAGAUAAUACAAAGCUGGUCGAUAUGCUGGCAGACCUUGGAAUCCCAGACUGGUUACCGAGUGGAUUAAAUGCUGAUAAGACUCCGGCACUCGACGGGUGUGGCUCGCAAACUUCAACUGCAGACUCCAGUGAAUGUGCAGUGAACACCAAGGAUAUUCAAGGAUUAGUUGAUGAUUCAAUGCUGAAUAAGCAAUUAUUGGAAAAGUGUCAGGAAGAGAUAAAGAGUCAUGAAAACGAAAAAAUGGACUUGAAAACUAGGGUUGAGGUACUGGAGAGUGAACGUGACAUGGAAAAAGAAGGCUUGAUGAAGCUUGUGUCCGAUCUGCGCUCAGCCCUUCUAAAGAUGCCAGGAUUGGAAGAACAAUGGAAACUACUACUGGAGUCUGCCCGUGUAUUGGCAAGCAGAAAUUUCAAAUCAGUGAUCGAUGGCAUGACAUUGGGAGAUGAGUAUCCAAGCACAGAGGCGCGCAACUUGAUAGACAGUCUUUGCAUAACUGCUCAAUGUUACGAUUCGCUGCUCGUAGACCAUAGAAUCAAGUCGAAGGAGCUCGAAAAACUCACUGAUCUCUAUAAAAAACUCGAGGAGAAUAAUGAUAAUUUGAAGAAAAAAGUUACUGAGUUGGAAGAAACUUCAAAAGAGCUCAACAGUUGUUUUUCAGCAAUAAAAAAAAACAGUUUCGAUUCAGACGCAGUAAAUUUGAGACGACAAUUGACUGAAGCUACAAAGAAAGCUGCCGAACUGGAGAGGGAGUUGAAGGAGAUGAAAUCAGCAAAGGCGUUGUCAGCUAUUGGGCAGGUCACAAUCACCUCCGCUCUUUCAUCUUCUAGCUCCAACAAUAAAUGCACCCAAUGUACCUCGUCAAAUAAUGAUAAGGCACCUCAAGAGUCACAAGAGCAGGUUGAGAAAUUGCAACGUUUUAUGAAAAAAUCUGCUGUUGAAUAUGCAAAGUUGUACCACAAAUUCUUGUUGGAGCGACAAAUGAGGUUGAAAAUGGGAGAUGCUAUCAAGACAGACCUCAAUCAAGAGCUGCCCUCAUCUCAAAAACCUGAUGUCUAAUUGGCUUCCUUACACAUAUUUCGACUUGAAGCCAUGAAACGUAUUUUAAUAGAGGAUUAUUAGUACCUGUUUCAGUGAAAUUGAUUAAAAGCUUCCAGAACUAUACCAGGACCAGCCAUUCACAUUGCGAUCCACCUCGAAGAAAUUGCAUUCAUGCAGACGAGUAGGCCUACAUCAGAUGUACCUACUGAGUAGCUAUUUUCAAGGCAUCCGGUAAACCUACACCAGCGCUAGGAUUGUUUUGGCAAAUAUUCAAAUGGACGUUUUUCAGGAAACAGCCCCGAAUUAUAUGUAUUUUGGGGCGCUGAGUUCAAUUUUGAAAUUUGCUGACAUGCCAGAGGGCGGCUUCACCCCUAAAAACCCUCAAAUUUUGGGACUUUUUUCAAUCUUUCCAUUUUUUUUUUUUUUUUGAAAAAAAAAACAUUCCCUACAAAAUUAAAGACAAUAAAAUAUCUAAUAAAUUGAGUGGUCGCGCUGGUUUCUCAGAUUUCUGUUUCUGGAUCUACAAAUUUUCAAAAAAGGGGUAUUUUCAAGGAAUUUUUGAAAAUUACAGGCUACGCCCUGUUGUUUCAAUUAGAUGAAUCUUUCGGA